UCACCGUUUGCACGGGCAGUUCCAUUAGAGUCCCCAGCAUAACCUGAUGGCAACUAAUGGUAGGGGUUGCGCUCGUUGCAGGACUUAACCUAACACCUCACGGCACGAGCUGACGACAGCCAUGCAGCACCUAGUUUCGUGUCCUUGCGGACUGACCUGUUUCCAGAUCAUUCACUAACUUUCAAGCCCAGGUAAGGUUCCUCGCGUAUCAUCGAAUUAAACCACAUGCUCCUCCGCUUGUGCGGGCCCCCGUCAAUUCCUUUGAGUUUCAAUCUUGCGAUCGUAUUCCCCAGGUGGAUUACUUAACGCUUUCGCUUGGACGCUUGCAGUGUAUCGCAAACAUCGAGUAAUCAUCGUUUAAGGCGUGGACUAC
RNAcentral lists this unclassified non-coding RNA (373 nucleotides) under uncultured Sphingobacteriales bacterium. Its description in RNAcentral is "contains 16S-23S intergenic spacer region". Lineage: Bacteria; Pseudomonadati; Bacteroidota; Sphingobacteriia; Sphingobacteriales. The record is from RNAcentral.